This is a long non-coding RNA of Macrobrachium nipponense, 1266 nucleotides long. RefSeq lists it as uncharacterized. The record is from RefSeq and is a predicted model, not a curated record. The transcript has 2 exons. Lineage: Eukaryota; Metazoa; Arthropoda; Malacostraca; Decapoda; Palaemonidae.
AACCAGCAUUCUUUGUCGUAGGAUCUGCCAAGUAAUUUUUACACGUUAUCCAAAAUACCUAAGAACAUUCAGUUUUCAACAAGGUGUCUCAUUUUCCUCAAAACACAAGGGUACAUUCUUAGGCACAAAUACGCAAUAUGAACCUUGAAUCGAUUAGAUGAUAUAGCAACGCAUUUAUGUAUUGAACAGCUGCAUUUGCAGUAUUGCCUGGAUUUGGAAAGCGAGAUCAUCUGCACUCGAGAUCUUGAAAAGGAUUGCAAUUACUUUAGGCAACACGGAAAAUCAGUUCCAAAGACAGUAUGCACUGGCGAGGAGGAAAUUAUCGGUGUGAAAAUGAUUAAAAUGGGAAUGUGUGGCAGUGUUGGCAGCCUUCGUUUGGCAGUCACGUGACCAAAUAGUCUCUCCUCGUAUACACAGACUCAGUUCAAAAUGGUCAAGUGUGGAAAUCCCGUCACAUAGAUUUCGCUCCUCGCAAACGGUCGCAUUUUCGGUGUCGCAACGAAGUCAUAACCUCGACAAAUGAUCUCAUCACUUCUCUCAAGAGUUGUCAUAUGGAUUCUUUUCCACUGUGACCUAACUUCACUCCACCAUUUCUUUCACUCUUCGCGGAUUUAGUGUUGAUACUUACUCCGUUGAUUAAUUGUAGUUUAAAGGAGUCUGGUAAUUUGUCACAGAUAUUUUCAGGCUUUCCUUAUUUGUUUUUCUCUUACAUAAAUAUUUUAUGAACUUCGGGCAUAUAUAAUUGUGAUGUAAAGUACUUUGAAAAGUUGGUUAUUUAUCACGAGAUUGUUAGCAACUUGCUCGUUAUAUUCUUGUUAUUCGGUUUUGAUUGUCUGGCGAGGAGUUGAAAUUCAUUCCCCUCAAAAAUAUUACCUCAGAUAUUCUAAGUGAUUUUAUCUCCGCCAGAUGUCUCACCCUAAUGGCAUUCAGAUCCGAAUUACCAUAUUUUUCGAUGAUGGGGGCAGACUGGUGGUAUACAUCCCCCGUCAGUUUUCAGCCUUCCGGACUCCCCCACCUCCCUCCCCCUUUCUCGCUAGCCGCCCUCAACACUAUCCUCCCCCCUCGCUGCUAUGAUGGACGGGUUAAUUGAAUAAUUUGCGUCAACUCCCGUCUCAGCGACGGUGGUCUUACUUUCUUGUUAAACUGUCCUUAGUGGAGACUUCUAGAUUUUUUUCUUUAAGAUGAAGCUCUUGGUUCUUAUACUAAUGAAAAUACUGUUGGAUGUCAGUAUGAUGUAGCCCUUUUAAUGAAAUGUAAAAACUACAA